UCAUGGUGCAUUGUAAUUGCAUUGCAUUUUUAUUUUAAAUGGUGCAAUGUAUUUGCAGUGCAAACAGG
RNAcentral lists this microRNA precursor (68 nucleotides) under Stegodyphus mimosarum. Its description in RNAcentral is "microRNA mir-33". It matches the Rfam family "mir-33 microRNA precursor family". Lineage: Eukaryota; Metazoa; Arthropoda; Arachnida; Araneae; Eresidae. The record is from RNAcentral.